This is a long non-coding RNA of Cyprinus carpio (common carp), 418 nucleotides long. Lineage: Eukaryota; Metazoa; Chordata; Actinopteri; Cypriniformes; Cyprinidae. The record is from Ensembl.
GAGGACAGACUAAUUAAGGAUUUGGCUAAAGCAGCUCAUGUAGAGAUCCUGAAGGAGGGAGCAAAGCAGAGAAACAACAUUGAUCACUCCGUCAGCUUAUCAGUCUUUUCAGUCAAAGUGCCUUGACUGAGAGGAGAACACAUUCAGCAUUCAAGCUGAAAUGUAACUCUGCAUUGCAGAGUUGCCAAAGUGAGGAAGACCAGGAUAAAGAUGGCCUGAAAUCAUUUGAGGUGAACAAUGGAAAUGAAGGGAAUCUGAGUUAUUUUCUGUUUAACUGUAGGAGAAAAGGCUGAGGAUGCUGACACAGUUCUGUACAGUGGGUUCAUUAAUUAUGUAAUCAAUGAUUGGCUUCAGGAAUUAUAGAGUGAGACACAGUUGGCAUGUUUUAUUUCUUAGUGAAUUGAUUGAGUAACUAAUU